UUUAAGCCUUGAUCUCAAUUUGAGCUAAAAACCAUUGUUAAAGAUUUAAAAGUCUAGAUAAAAUAAAUUUAUAGACCAAUGUAGAAGAGAUCUAGAAAUACAUAACCACAGGUUCCCUGAUCUGUACAGGUUCAUGUGUUAUUAGAACAUAUGCAAAAACUGAUAAAGAAAGGAAAUAAUGUAGAUGAUGUAAGAAAUCAAAAUAAAGUAUUCUUUAUUUUACACAUAAACAUCUCAUUAUUCCAGCACAGUUCACUGAAAAGACUAGUCAUUCUCCAUUGAAUUGUCUUUGACUUUUGCUAAAAAAAAAAAAAAAAAAAAAAAAAAAAAAAGGUGAUUAUUCCUAUGUGAGUCUGUUCCUGGUUUCCGUUACCUUGAUGCAUGUGUCUAUACCUCAUCAAUAUAACACCGUCUUGAUUACUGCAGAUGAAUAGCAAAAAAACACACGUUUUAAUACUAACUUUUCCACAGAUUAAAACCCUGUAAAUUUAACUUAUUGAAGUUCUACCACACAAUGUCUGUGUAUAUAAUUGUUCCCUGUCUGGUUUCCUUAUGUGGAAAUUGGUUAUUAAGGUUAGCCUGUGUUCCCAGGAUGUAUCAAGCAAAGCUGAACCAAGAGGAACCAUCCUUCACUUCAGAAAAUGAGUGGGAACAUAUUGAAAACAUUUGCAAGCCUGAUAGGACCAUAUGGUAGGGGGAGGGGAAGAGAAGGAAAGGAGCCAUCAGGGGGCAUUCUGAGAAAAGGAGGUAGGAGUAAUUUAGCAUGUGCAAUAUGGACAAGAAGAGGAAUAGUACUGCAGUUAAAUAUUUUACUUUCCUGACAUCAUCUUUCUUCCAAGGUUAAUCUAUUGACAUCUAACCAAGAAAAUCCAUAGUGUAGAUGAAUGUAAGACACAUAGGAUGCAACUAAUUUUUAGAGUAACUUUUUAACCAGAGAAUUUUUCUUAUGUUAAAAAAAAAAAGACCCAUGAAAUAUAAAAGCUAAAGCUAAGAUUUUAAAUGGUGCUUUUUAAACAUAGCAACGAGAUUGCAGAGCUAAAGUCCUUCUGUUCCACUGAUAAAUGUCCUUUUACAGAGAUUUGGCUCCCAGAUGGCCAUUCUAUCUCCAUCACCCACUUCCCCAAAAGAAAUAAUACUAGCUGCUGAUUUUUUUUCUCUAACCAGAAUAUAUUUAGCUUUCUUUUACAGUUCUUCACACUGAGAGUCUAACUCUGAGUCAAGCUAAAACAGCUUCAUCUCAUUCAUUUUGCAUGAGUUCAACUAUUUUUUUUAUUAAUCUUAAAGCAAUGUGGAAAUGCUUUUGCAGUCAUUUCACUUUUAUGAUAAAUGAUUUUGUAAUUGUUUUCAUUUCAAAACUGUUUUACAACCUCCCUCUUUUCUUUCAGCCCUAUUCUCUUAUAUUAGCAUAGCUUGAGUUUGAGCACAGACCCCAUUUCUGCUGAAUUAUUAUCUUCAGGUUGGAUCAAUUUAGUCCCUGGCCAGUCUUUUUCUUACUUAUUGUGUAAUUCUUUAAAAAGAAACUAGUUGAAUUCUAGGAAUUUCAAAUUGCUUUAAUUUUAAAACUAAUGUAUAUCUGAUAGCCCCUGGUUAUGGACCCUACUUAAGUACUAAAUCUUAAGAGUGCUUGCAUCCUGAUAAGCAGAGUAACCCUAAUCCUACUGAUUUUAAAACUCUGUGCAGGAGCUCCCAGUGUGGUUCAGCCAUAAGGAACUCAACUAGUAUCCAUGAGGACACAAGUUUGAUCCCUGGUCCCACUCCAUGGGUUAAGGAUCUAGUGUUUCGGGGAGCAAUGGUUUAGGUUACAGAUGUGGCUCAGAGCUGGCCUUGUUGCUGUGGUGUAGGUGGCAGCUACAGCUCCUGAUUUGACCCCUAGCCUGGGAAUUUCCAUAUGCUGUGAGUGUGGUCCUAUCACGAAAUGGUCAAAUAAAACAAACUGCAAUAGUUUAAAACUCGAGUAGUCUACAGUUUGUAGCUUUUGCAGAGUGUCCUGUUACCAUCAGGAAUUUAAAAGUCAUGGAAGAUAUAGCCCAACUGAAAUAUAUAAUUGGAUCAGGAGAUCUUUAUUUGUUUAGAUGUUCUCUCUCUUCUGCAGUUUUCCCUUUCUAUUUCUUCUCCUUUCCUUCUUUCACUCCUUCUUUCCUUCUCCUUCCUGCCCUUUCCUCUUCCCAUGUAUUUCUUUAUAAAAAAGAAACUAUAAAAAAGCACAACUAUAGUUCUCAAUGGCAUGUCUUAGAAUUAGAUUGAAUGUCACUCUUUAUUCUAUUUUGAUGGACUGUUCACAAAUUCAAAACAGUAUAAACUGAGCUAGAGAUAAACUUAAAUAGUAAAUUUAAUACAUAGGAUAAAUGUAUGAAUACACACAUACACAUAUGCACACAGAGAUGUUAAAAUGGACAUUCCAACAAUGUUCCUAAGAGAAUUGUAACCAAAACGGAUAUUUACAAUUUCUGAUACAUUCACUUUAAGAAUAAAGUUAACUUAGAAAAUCUUUUGGAAACAUCCAUUGUCUGUCAAAUUUUCAUUCCACAAAUGGAAACUAUAGUUGAUUUAUUAUAUUAUCUACUGGAAAAGAUGUUCUACAGCACAGGAUUUAGAACACUAAAAAAUUCUCCCGGGUUUAUCAUUUCAGUGGUUAUGUCAUUUUUAUACAAUGAAGAUAUACUUGUAUUUCAUAACUCUGAUACAUUUUCUUAGAUUGUUGGAGCUGUGUUUAUCAGCAGGUCAUGUCAUGUCUUUGAGGAAUCAAUUAUCAUAAUACUUACUAAAAGGACAUGCAUAAAACAAUAGAGUAUUCCUGUUCCAAUCAGAGAUGACAACUCCACAAAUACUUCUAUGUGCAUUUUAGAACUAUGCCUUUACAGCUUGUUUUGAUCUCAAGCUAAUUUAGGUAAAUUUUUAAAUAAUAAGAAUACAUGUUAUAUUAUUGCAUAAUAUAACUCAGUGCUAAAGUCUUAUGUUUCACCUAUCGGUUGCCCUCAAGCCUCAGUGAAAAUUUUAGUGCCUAUGCCCUAAACUAUCUGAUCUUGAAUUUUCAAAAGAAAUUUAAGUGACUCAAAUAGAGGUUAAAGGAUUUAUUCAGAUUUUGUGAAACAGAGCAUCUGAAGAUGAAGUAGUUUCCUAACUGAAGCAGUCAGAGGUUCUGACAAGACUGGGAGAGUUGAGUAGCUGACUUCAUGGUUUUGAUUUAAGCAGUGAUUUUUGACUUUAAGCAAAACUUAUGGUUGUGGGUCAUGUCUUUUGCUUAGGGUUACAAUAACAGUUUUUUUCCAGAAUGAUUUUUACAAGUCUUGUGGUUUAUAAGCAACCCAUGGUUCCUGAGAUGGGGCAGAGAUAUAAGCAGAAAGGAAAAGAAAGUGAGUUUAUGGGAGUCAGAGUGAGGAAGAGAAAAAGCUAGAAGGCAAGCAGGAAAAUGGCAAUGCUCUAUGGUAUUUGUUUUGUCCUUUACACCUUAUAUUUGGCCUUGUGCUGCAAGUGUUGAUGGCCAGAGACUUUCCUGACUUACCUCCCAUGUUGAUUAAAUCUUGUAUUUAAAUGUGUGGAACAGUUUAAUGAUGGGGACCUUUACACAGAUAAGGGGGGGGGAGUGGCCAAAAAAGACACCACUUGAGGAAAAUAUAAUUAGUCAGGUGAAUUAUCUGGUGAGAAAAAAAAAAUCAUUAUAUGGAGGAAUUACUCUGUAUGUCAAUCUCACUUGUGUUAGAUCCCCUACUCCCCACCAACCGCCCACAACACAGGUACAGAUUUCAAAUAUAUAAGCAAAGUUUUACCUUUUAUAAAAAUUGCAUUGAAGGAGCAAAGAGAGGAACACUCAGAGGGAGGUGGGAAAUUUUUUUUCUUUCUCCAUGAGGAAGGCAAUUAAAGGAAGCUUCCAAGAAUUGAUUUAUGAUUUGCCGGGAUGGAAGGUCCUCAUGAUCCUGAGUUAAGGAAGAAUGCUUCAUGAGCCUCAGAGGAGAUAAGACCUCAUAAACUCAGUAGAGAAUAGUAUACUGGGUAAUGUACUUAAAAGUGAACCCACAUCGAAAAUUGUCUUAAAGGAGUAUUGGUGAUAUAGAAUUAAAAUUGGUCGUUAUAUUUAUCCUGUAAAUAUUAAUGAUUUAUCAUAUUUUGAUAUUUUGUCUUCCUCUAAAAAUAGAAAGUAGCACUCUAUUCUUAUGGGAAGGAUGAUAUGUCAUUUUAUUUAUCAAACUUUCUACCACUUGAUGUGUGCAUAUGUAUUUUUUUCCUGUUGAUCCCUCUGAACUAAAAUGUGAGGUCCAAGAUUCAGAGUUUUUGUCUGUUUCUUUUACUGCUGUAUUUCCAGGACAUAUUAUAAAUAUUCAAUACAUAUUUUUAAAUUAAUGAAUAGAAAUCAUGAUAUCUUGAUCAUACUACAUGUAUAACAUCCAAUAUUUAUUUCAAUGAAAGAAAACCAAACACAGAACUUCUUUAUGUAUGAAAAGAUGUGACUCCAAAUUUUUUUUUCCAGAAUGGAUCAUUUCAGGCAGAAGAAAAAUUCACUAAUUGUGUUGGGACCUCAGAAUGUCUCAGUGUUCUAUAUAUUCUCAAAGUACAUCAGAAAUCUACUGUGCACUCAGAGCCCUGCAUCAGGUACUUCAAAAACAAAGAUUCUAAAUUAGUAUCUAUUUAAAACAAUGGUCCUAAAAUUGCCUCAAAGGGAUUAAAGUAAUGUGUGAAAAAAGAACUAUAGGCGAGCUGUUAUAUUUCAUCACCUUCAAGCUAACAUAUUGAAAAAUAGAUAUAGAUACAACAAUAACCUAAAGAAAAUCUUAGUAAGAAAAUGGCUAUCAAAAUUCCUCUGUUAAAAAUCAAAGAGAAAGAAAUCUCUGGUGUCUCAUUCUCUUCCUAUAAGACACUAGUCUUAUGGGAUUAGGGCCUCGCCCUCAGGACUUAACAUUUUUUAGCUCUAUAUAGGCAUGAUCUCCAAACCAGUCACAUGGAGGAUUGGGACUUCAACAUAUGAAUUUUAGGAGAACACAACCUAGGUCAUAAUUCCAUGUUGAAAAGAAAGGAGUUAAAUUAAUGUUUUUCUCCCUAUGCUCUAGUAAACUCCCAAUAUGCCUAUAGGAGACUGAAAAAAUCUUCUCUGUAAUAUUUGGGCCAAACUCAAAUUUCUGUCAAGAAUGGCUUUUCACAGCACAAGGUCCAAUAGAGUUCCCUUACAAUAAACUCCAUCAUAUGCAUAGCAGGAACACAUUCAAGGUUAACACAGCCCAAACUAUCAGACUUUUAAGGAAAAUCUAUUUUUAGUUUUUGAACCAUAUGAAUGUGUUACCUAUUUAAAAAGUUAAAAAACAGCAACACACCUCCAUAGAAGGGUUGAAAGAAAAACAAGCUCCAUUUCCUACUAAUUAUUACCC
Molecule: long non-coding RNA, 5357 nt
Filed under: Sus scrofa (pig)
Lineage: Eukaryota; Metazoa; Chordata; Mammalia; Artiodactyla; Suidae
Description: lncRNA (ENSSSCG00000052344.1)
Source: RNAcentral